Molecule: long non-coding RNA, 779 nt
Organism: Maniola jurtina (meadow brown)
Lineage: Eukaryota; Metazoa; Arthropoda; Insecta; Lepidoptera; Nymphalidae
Exons: 2
Source: RefSeq, a predicted model, not a curated record
UUUCCCUAACUUGUAAAUAACUACAAACUUGACAUUGGCUAGUCUUUGUAAAGCCAGACGAGAGAAAAAAAAGAAUUUCGGGAGUUUUAUAAUAUUUUUUCCUAAAUACAUAAAACGUCUGCAGCAGCGAGAACUGAUAAAUAUUAUGUAUUUGGUACGAAAAUUGAUCGUUAGUUAGAUGGGUCACGUGACACAUCCGCACUUAAUUCACUCAAGGCAACAAGGGUGCGAGAAUAGUCAGCGCCCUCCAUUACCCUCGCCUCAUCUCCGAUCCGCUCCAUUCGGUGUCAGUUUGUCAGAGUCAAAGAAAAUUAGGCGCGAACAAUUAAAUAAAUAGAGAGUGGACAAAAGCCGGGUACACACGUGCAGUUAGAACUGACAGUUUUAACUGUUCAGUUACCUAAUGAUAAUUUGAUUAUUUGUAAAGGUUCGUUGUCAAUUAAAUUGUUCAGUUCUCAGUUUAGCUUACACAAUAUGAUUUAACUGAGCAGACCAACUGUUCAGUUAUAACUGCGCGUGUGAUCCGGCAUAAAGUUGUCAGUUAAAUUAUUCAGUUCUCAGUUUUGCCUAUGCACAUCACGAUACUGGACAGUCUUACUGUUCUCAUAACUGUACGUGUGAAGCCGGCUUAAGCUUCUAUAGCCUCUACUUGCAUGACUCGCGCGAGGGACUUUGGUAGACAUAUUCGCGAUUGUGUGGGUCCGGGGUGAAGGACGCAAACUGACAUCACGAUACAUGAAUCGACAGCGAGUGACAAUGGAAAACAGCUCUUAUGUACU